Non-coding RNA from Candidatus Wildermuthbacteria bacterium, 435 nucleotides. Lineage: Bacteria; Candidatus Wildermuthiibacteriota. The record is from Rfam.
GCAGGAAGCCAGGUGAUUGCCCGCAAAAAUUUUCGCAAGAAAACUUAGCGGGAGGAAAGUCCGAACACUCCCCGCCACAACUUCUUCACAGAAGAUGUUGGCGGGUCAAUCGGUCAGGGCAAUUCCCUGCCAAGGCAACUUGAGAGGUGCGAACAGAGACGUGCGAAACCGAAAGGUUGAGCACCCAGCUCUCUGUAAAGAGGGCUGGGCGAGCCCUGCAGUAAUGCAGGGGUGAAACGGCUAAAUCCUGCCUGAGUGCAAGAGCAAACCAGAAGGUCUGCUUUCAUGUAGAGCUUUUGGAAAGGUGGCUCGCUUGACCCCGUCCAGUAAUGGGCGGGGCAGAUAGAUGAUCACCCCUGCCCGCAAUGCUGCGCUGUGCUUGCAUGGCGUUGCAGGCGGGCUCGACAGAAUUCGGCUUAUCGGCUUGCUGCGGCA